UCCUGGGAUAACACUGACGUUCAUGCCCGAAAGCGUGGGUAGCAAACAGGAUUAGAUACCCUGGUAGUCCACGCCCUAAACGAUGUCGAUUAGCUGUUGGGCAGCAUGACUGCUUAGUAGCGAAGCUAACGCGUGAAAUCGACCGCCUGGGGAGUACGGUCGCAAGAUUAAAACUCAAAGGAAUUGACGGGGACCCGCACAAGCGGUGGAUGAUGUGGAUUAAUUCGAUGCAACGCGAAGAACCUUACCUGGUCUUGACAUGUACGGAACCCUCCAGAGACGGAGGGGUGCCUUCGGGAGCCGUAACACAGGUGCUGCAUGGCUGUCGUCAGCUCGUGUCGUGAGAUGUUGGGUUAAGUCCCGCAACGAGCGCAACCCUUGUCAUUAGUUGCCAUCAUUAAGUUGGGCACUCUAAUGAGACUGCCGGUGACAAGCCGGAGGAAGGUGGGGAUGACGUCAAGUCCUCAUGGCCCUUAUGACCAGGGCUUCACACGUCAUACAAUGGUCGGUACAGAGGGUAGCCAAGCCGCGAGGUGGAGCCAAUCUCACAAAACCGAUCGUAGUCCGGAUUGCACUCUGCAACUCGAGUGCAUGAAGUCGGAAUCGCUAGUAAUCGCAGGUCAGCAUACUGCGGUGAAUACGUUCCCGGGUCUUGUACACACCGCCCGUCACACCAUGGGAGUGGGGGAUACCAGAAGUAGGUAGGGUAACCGCAAGGAGCCCGCUUACCACGGUAUGCUUCAUGACUGGGGUGAAGUCGUAACAAGGUAGCCGUAGGGGAACC
This 784-nucleotide ribosomal RNA is filed under the name uncultured Neisseria sp. RNAcentral describes it as "bacterial SSU rRNA". It matches the Rfam family "Bacterial small subunit ribosomal RNA", at positions 727 to 1512 of the family's 1533-position model. Lineage: Bacteria; Pseudomonadati; Pseudomonadota; Betaproteobacteria; Neisseriales; Neisseriaceae. The record is from RNAcentral.